This 550-nucleotide ribosomal RNA is filed under the name uncultured bacterium. Its description in RNAcentral is "bacterial SSU rRNA". It matches the Rfam family "Bacterial small subunit ribosomal RNA", at positions 355 to 896 of the family's 1533-position model. The record is from RNAcentral.
UAGGGAAUCUUCGGCAAUGGACGGAAGUCUGACCGAGCAACGCCGCGUGAGUGAAGAAGGUUUUCGGAUCGUAAAGCUCUGUUGUAAGAGAAGAACGAGUGUGAGAGUGGAAAGUUCACACUGUGACGGUAUCUUACCAGAAAGGGACGGCUAACUACGUGCCAGCAGCCGCGGUAAUACGUAGGUCCCGAGCGUUGUCCGGAUUUAUUGGGCGUAAAGCGAGCGCAGGCGGUUAGAUAAGUCUGAAGUUAAAGGCUGUGGCUUAACCAUAGUAGGCUUUGGAAACUGUUUAACUUGAGUGCAAGAGGGGAGAGUGGAAUUCCAUGUGUAGCGGUGAAAUGCGUAGAUAUAUGGAGGGACACCGGUGGCGAAAGCGGCUCUCUGGCUUGUAACUGACGCUGAGGCUCGAAAGCGUGGGGAGCAAACAGGAUUAGAUACCCUGGUAGUCCACGCUGUAAACGAUGAGUGCUAGGUGUUAGACCCUUUCCGGGGUUUAGUGCCGUAGCUAACGCAUUAAGCACUCCGCCUGGGGAGUACGACCGCAAGGUUG